Molecule: ribosomal RNA, 828 nt
Filed under: uncultured crenarchaeote
Lineage: Archaea; Thermoproteati; Thermoproteota
Description: bacterial SSU rRNA
Rfam family: Archaeal small subunit ribosomal RNA
Source: RNAcentral
UGCGAGUCGAGCGUCUCUAGCUAUGUUGAGACGCGGCAGACGGCUCAGUAACACGUGGCUAACCUACCCUCAGGACAGGGACAAACCCGGGAAACUGGGGCUAAUACCCGAUAGGCGAGGAUGCCUGGAAUGGUUUCUCGCUCAAAGGUCUUGGAAACAUGCUUUCAAGUCGCCUGGGGAUGGGGCCGCGUCCGAUCAGGUUGUUGGUGAGGUAAUGGGUCACCAAGCCUAUAACCGGUACGGGCCGUGAGAGCGGGAGCCCGGAGAUGGGUACUGAGACAAGGACCCAGGCCCUACGGGGCGCACCAGUCGCGAAAACUCCGCAAUGCGCGAAAGUGUGACGGGGCUACCCCGAGUGCUCUCCGCUGAGGAAAGCUUUUCUCUGGUGUAACUAGCCAGGGGAAUAAGGAGAGGGCAAGACUGGUGUCAGCCGCCGCGGUAAUACCAGCUCUCCGAGUGGUAGGGAUGAUUAUUGGGCUUAAAGCGUCCGUAGCCGGCUUAGCAAGUUUCCUGUUAAAUUCAGCGACCUAAUCGUUGAGCCGCGGGAAAUACUACUAGGCUAGGAGGCGGGAGAGGUCAACGGUACUUCCGGGGUAGGGGUGAAAUCCUAUAAUCUCGGGAGGACCACCAGUGGCGAAGGCUGUUGACUAGAACGCGCUCGACGGUGAGGGACGAAAGCUGGGGGAGCGAACCGGAUUAUAUACCCGGGUAGUCCCAGCUGUAAACGAUGCGAGCUAGGUGUUGGGGUGGCUACGUGCCACUUCAGUGCCGCAGGGGAAGCCAUAAUGCUCGCCGCCUGGGGAGUACGGCCGCAAGGCUGAAACUUCA